RNAcentral lists this long non-coding RNA (220 nucleotides) under Musa acuminata (dwarf banana). RNAcentral describes it as "long non-coding RNA (MACU_LNC008231)". Lineage: Eukaryota; Viridiplantae; Streptophyta; Magnoliopsida; Zingiberales; Musaceae. The record is from RNAcentral.
AGGCGACCUUAUGCAAUGUUUCUCAAGAAAAGGGCCUCUUACACAACUGGCAAAGGUUACUUUCAGAUGCGCUAUUUGGUGGAUGUGGAAGGAGAGAUGUAAUAGAAUCUUUGAAUGUCAACACACAAACAAUGCUCAGCUCUUGAAAGAGAUUAUUAGAGACUCAAGAUCCUGUAUGGAGCAUGAUCUCAAAAUCGAGCACUUCACCCGAAGAGAAAAA